GGAGGAGAUGUCUAGGUGGAAGAUGACUUCAAUUUCGGCUCUGCUGAAUUGGAGUUAAGAGACAUGGAGAUGUUGCUCUUUGGCAGGAGUGAGAAAUAACCGUUAGAACUUAGGAGAAUGAUCAGGUGACACCAGCAAGAUGAGGGGUAAUAGAAGCCAUGGGGUUUACCAGCUAGGUCACUGGCCACCAUUGUGUGAGGGACACUUAAGUGGAGCAAUGUCAGCAAAAGGCUACGUGGCUAUUUGCCAAGGAUGAGUGAGAGACUGGCCCUGAGCUAACAUCCGUGCCCAUCUUCCUCUACUUUAUAUGUGGGACACCUACCACAGCAUGGCUUGCCAAGCCGUGGUGCCAUGUCUGCACCCGGAUCCGAACCGGCGAAUCCCGGGCCACCGAAGCGGAACAUGCGCACUUAACUGCUACGCCACUGAGCUGGCCCCUUGUUUAGCCUGUUUUACACAUGAAGAAACUGAGGAUGCUGCCACAGCAUGGCUUGAUGAGCGGUGUGUAGGUCUGCACCCAGGAUCCGAACCUGCAAACCCCAGGCCACGGAAGCAGAGUGCGUGAACUUAACCACUAUGCUACUGGGCUGGCCCCAACAUAAAACUUUUAAAAGCAAACAUAGGAGAAUAACUUCAUGUCCUUGGGGCAAAGAUUUCUCAAAAAAACAUAAAAAGUACCAACCACAAAAGAAAAAAAUUGAAGAGUUUUUCUUUUCAUUUUAUUUUCAUUAAAAUAAAAAAUUCUGUUCACCAGAAGAUACUGAUAAGAGAAUGAAAAAGAAGCCACACGUGGGAGAAGAUAUUUGCACUACAUAUAUCC
RNAcentral lists this long non-coding RNA (820 nucleotides) under Equus asinus (donkey). Its description in RNAcentral is "lncRNA (ENSEASG00005037338.1)". The record is from RNAcentral. Lineage: Eukaryota; Metazoa; Chordata; Mammalia; Perissodactyla; Equidae.